UUCAUGAAGAAUUAUUGUGUAAAAUUUGGCUUCAGGUGAAUUUUACUGAAAUUAAUUGAAAGUAAUUAUCAAUAAUACUCCUUUUUUAAUUUUUAUUUUUUAAAGUUGCUAAUGUGUUUGUUCUUCCUUUCAGUGAGGGAACAAGCAUCUCUUUGCCAUUAACUUGGGGCAAAAAAAGAGAGGAAACGUAUGCCUUGUUUUUCAUUAUUGCCUAUUGGUACACAAGACGUAUUUAGAGGAAAGGGGUGGAGGAAGAGGGGGUUGAGUGCUUGUAGACCAUGAGCAAAAAUGGCAGACUACAAUAAGAAUUUGGUAAUUUCAUCUAUGAAAUUCUCUAUUACAAUGCACUACGUGCAUCUCACAUGCGAAGAACUAGUUCGAUAAAUAUUCAAUAUUUUGCAGCAAGCUUCAUAUCUUGUUAAAUUUUGAAGGUCCUUCCUUUUGUGAAAUCAUUUAAGUUAAAAAUGUUAAGAGAGAAAAACAUUAAUUUAUUAAUAUCUUCAAAACUCUUCUUAUGGUGCAGGUAGAUUUAAUUUUUCUAUAAACAUUAAAUUUCUGACUUUGAUGGGGAUGAUGUUAUUAUUUUACAGAUUUUCAUCUGGUCGUCCAUUACCAAUACAAUUUCGAGACUCGAUUUGAUUAGAGACUAAUAGCUCAGUCAUCUACCAGGUCAAGAAAGUUAUUAAUUGGGUUAGUUGCUGUAAGCUUGUGGGCUGACCACCUAUAUGCCUGCUUUGCAUAUAUUUCGUUGCCAGCUCCAAUCCACAUCAUUUGAUGACGUGUUGUUUACAACAAAUUUGACUUGUACACAAUAUCUGUUAUUACGAGAGUUAGAGAGAGAGGCCAAUUCAAACCAUCAUUUGGUGACACAUUUUUUAAGAGCAAUCGUGGAACCUAUAUUUGUUAAGUGAAGUCAAUGUUAUGCUGAAGCAAACAAAAGAUUAUGACGAUUGAGGAUAGUCAAGUUCACAUUUCACUUCUUAUCUUUCCAUUCUCUCUCUUUUAGAGUAAAGAUCAUUUGUAGUAUUUCGUGGCUACCAAAUAUUCAAAUACUCCAGGGAACAUUGUAGAUGUAAAAUUCUGCAUUAUAUAAUAGGAGGAAUUUCUUUUUUUUUUUUUUUUUUCCUAAAUGGAUUAUCAGGUAAGUUGUCAUUAUUUGCAAUAGUAAUAGGCUUUUUAUUAUGAUGUGCAGUUGCACAUGUCCAUGUGUGUCCACGUAUACUUGUGUGUGUAAAUGUGGAAUAAUGAUAUUUAC
This 1255-nucleotide long non-coding RNA is filed under the name Olea europaea subsp. europaea. The record is from RNAcentral. Lineage: Eukaryota; Viridiplantae; Streptophyta; Magnoliopsida; Lamiales; Oleaceae.